Molecule: transfer RNA, 84 nt
Filed under: Clostridiales bacterium
Lineage: Bacteria; Bacillati; Bacillota; Clostridia; Eubacteriales
Description: tRNA-Leu
Rfam family: tRNA
About the family: Transfer RNA (tRNA) molecules are approximately 80 nucleotides in length. Their secondary structure includes four short double-helical elements and three loops (D, anti-codon, and T loops).
Source: RNAcentral
GCGGGUGUGGCGGAACUGGUAGACGCGUAAGAUUCAGGUUCUUAUGUUCGUAAGGAUGUGCAGGUUCAAGUCCUGUCACCCGCA